RNAcentral lists this ribosomal RNA (253 nucleotides) under uncultured bacterium. Its description in RNAcentral is "partial 16S ribosomal RNA". It matches the Rfam family "Bacterial small subunit ribosomal RNA", at positions 524 to 776 of the family's 1533-position model. The record is from RNAcentral.
UACGGAGGAUCCAAGCGUUAUCCGGAUUCACUGGGUUUAAAGGGUGCGUAGGUGGAAUGACAAGUCAGUGGUGAAAACCCGCAGCUUAACUGUAGAACUGCCAUUGAUACUGUUAUUCUUGAGUACAUUUGAUGUGAGUGGAAUGUGUCGUGUAGCGGUGAAAUGCUUAGAUAUGACACAGAACACCAAUUGCGAAGGCAGCUCACAAAACUGUAACUGACACUGAGGCACGAAAGCAUGGGGAUCAAACAGG